This 202-nucleotide long non-coding RNA is filed under the name Homo sapiens (human). RNAcentral's name for it is "LHRI_LNC1398.1". The record is from RNAcentral. Lineage: Eukaryota; Metazoa; Chordata; Mammalia; Primates; Hominidae.
CAGCAGCCCAGACAGUUUUCUAAGCCCCUUCUCUUUCCCCAGUCUGUUGGAGCUUAGGGUAUUACAUCCCACCCUUGCCAGGAGGCAAGAGCCGAAGCUGCUGCCCCUCACCCACCAGUGCUAUCUCCCAGAGAGGUUUUCAUAGCUGGGGUCCCCUAGUAGUAAUUUUACUAAUAAUACAUGUAGUCUUAUAAGUGUGGGG